RNAcentral lists this ribosomal RNA (1083 nucleotides) under Dothideomycetes sp. RNAcentral's name for it is "eukaryotic LSU rRNA". The stretch from base 489 to 1083 matches the Rfam family "Eukaryotic large subunit ribosomal RNA", at positions 1 to 599 of the family's 3401-position model. The record is from RNAcentral. Lineage: Eukaryota; Fungi; Ascomycota; Dothideomycetes.
CAUUACACAAAUAUGAAGGCGGGCUGGAACCUCUCGGGGUUACAGCCUUGCUGAAUUAUUCACCCUUGUCUUUUGCGUACUUCUUGUUUCCUUGGUGGGUUCGCCCACCACUAGGACAAACAUAAACCUUUUGUAAUUGCAAUCAGCGUCAGUAACAAAUUAAUAAUUACAACUUUCAACAACGGAUCUCUUGGUUCUGGCAUCGAUGAAGAACGCAGCGAAAUGCGAUAAGUAGUGUGAAUUGCAGAAUUCAGUGAAUCAUCGAAUCUUUGAACGCACAUUGCGCCCUUUGGUAUUCCAAAGGGCAUGCCUGUUCGAGCGUCAUUUGUACCCUCAAGCUUUGCUUGGUGUUGGGCGUCUUGUCUCUAGCUUUGCUGGAGACUCGCCUUAAAGUAAUUGGCAGCCGGCCUACUGGUUUCGGAGCGCAGCACAAGUCGCACUCUCUAUCAGCAAAGGUCUAGCAUCCAUUAAGCCUUUUUUUCAACUUUUGACCUCGGAUCAGGUAGGGAUACCCGCUGAACUUAAGCAUAUCAAUAAGCGGAGGAAAAGAAACCAACAGGGAUUGCCCUAGUAACGGCGAGUGAAGCGGCAACAGCUCAAAUUUGAAAUCUGGCUCUUUUAGAGUCCGAGUUGUAAUUUGCAGAGGGCGCUUUGGCUUUGGCAGCGGUCCAAGUUCCUUGGAACAGGACGUCACAGAGGGUGAGAAUCCCGUACGUGGUCGCUGGCUAUUGCCGUGUAAAGCCCCUUCGACGAGUCGAGUUGUUUGGGAAUGCAGCUCUAAAUGGGAGGUACAUUUCUUCUAAAGCUAAAUAUUGGCCAGAGACCGAUAGCGCACAAGUAGAGUGAUCGAAAGAUGAAAAGCACUUUGGAAAGAGAGUCAAACAGCACGUGAAAUUGUUGAAAGGGAAGCGCUUGCAGCCAGACUUGCUUACAGUUGCUCAUCCGGGUUUCUACCCGGUGCACUCUUCUGUAGGCAGGCCAGCAUCAGUUUGGGCGGUAGGAUAAAGGUCUCUGUCACGUACCUCCUUUCGGGGAGGCCUUAUAGGGGAGACGACAUACUACCAGCCUGGACUGAGGUCCGCG